CCUACGGGGGGCGGCAGUCGAGAAUAGUCUACAAUGGGGGAAACCCUGAUAGUGCGACGCCGCGUGGAUGAAGAAGCAUUUCGGUGUGUAAAAUCCUUUUCUGUGAGAGCAAUGUCUUUAAGGUUAAUAGCUUUAAGGAAGAGAUAUUAUUACAGGAAUAAGCUCCGGCUAACUCCGUGCCAGCAGCCGCGGUAACACGGGGGGAGCAAGCGUUGUCCGGAAUUACUAGGCGUAAAGGGCAAGUAGGCGGAAUUGUAAGUCAGAUGUUAAAGGCACCGGCUCAACCGGUGUACGGCAUUUGAUACUGUAAUUCUAGAGUAAGGUGGGGGAAGAUGGAAUUCCUGGUGUAGCGGUGGAAUGCGCAGAUAUCAGGAAGAACACCAGAGGCGAAGGCGAUCUUCUAUACCAUUACUGACGCUGAAUUGCGAAGGUGUGGGUAUCAAACAGGAUUAGAUACCCUGGUAGUCCACACAGUAAACGAUAUACACUAGGUGUUGGGGGAGAUGAUCUUUCAGUGCCGUGGCUAACGCGUUAAGUGUAUCGCCUGGGGAGUACGAUCGCAAGGUUAAAACUCAAAGGAAUUGACGG
RNAcentral lists this ribosomal RNA (588 nucleotides) under uncultured bacterium. RNAcentral describes it as "bacterial SSU rRNA". It matches the Rfam family "Bacterial small subunit ribosomal RNA", at positions 338 to 916 of the family's 1533-position model. The record is from RNAcentral.